RNAcentral lists this ribosomal RNA (253 nucleotides) under uncultured bacterium. Its description in RNAcentral is "partial 16S ribosomal RNA". It matches the Rfam family "Bacterial small subunit ribosomal RNA", at positions 524 to 776 of the family's 1533-position model. The record is from RNAcentral.
CACGUAGGGGGCGAGCGUUGUCCGGAUUUACUGGGCGUAAAGGGCGUGCAGGCGGCCUGUUAAGUUCAGGGUGAAAGCUCCCGGCUCAACUGGGAGAGGUCCUUGGAUACUGUCGGGCUUGAGUACGGAAGAGGCGAGUGGAAUUCCUGGUGUAGCGGUGAAAUGCGCAGAUAUCAGGAGGAACACCAAUUGCGAAGGCAGCUCGCUGGGACGUUACUGACGCUGAGACGCGAAAGCGUGGGGAGCAAACAGG